GACGAACGUUGGCGGCGUGCUUAAUACGUGCAAGUCAACUGAAGCAGUGGUAGCAAUAUCGCUGUGGAGGUGGCGCACGGGUGAGUAACACGUAGGUAAUCUGCCUUCAGGUCUGGCAUAACUCCGGGAAACCGGGGCUAAUAGCAGAUGAUGCAGCGGCUCGACAUCGAGACAGUUGUUAAAGCUAUGGCGCCUGAAGAUGAGCCUGCGCCUGAUUAGCUAGUUGGCGGGGUAACGGCCCACCAAGGCAACGAUCAGUAGCUGGUCUGAGAGGAUGAUCAGCCACACUGGAACUGAGACACGGUCCAGACUCCUACGGGAGGCAGCAGUAAGGAAUAUUGCUCAAUGGGAGAAAUCCUGAAGCAGCAACGCCGCGUGAGGGACGAAGGGCUUUUGCUUGUAAACCUCUGUAGUGAGAGAAAAAAAUCCCAAUCUUUGGGACAUGAUGGUAUCUCAAAAGUAAGCCCCGGCUAACUACGUG
RNAcentral lists this ribosomal RNA (481 nucleotides) under uncultured bacterium. Its description in RNAcentral is "partial 16S ribosomal RNA". It matches the Rfam family "Bacterial small subunit ribosomal RNA", at positions 28 to 507 of the family's 1533-position model. The record is from RNAcentral.